GGACUAGCCUCAAGUUAGAUACCUGGAGGUAAAGCACUGAAUAGCCUAGCGGCCGAGAGGUUAGCGAAGCUUAUCAAACUCAGAAUGCCAGAGUAUUGAUGCUUGGGAGUCAGACAGUGUCAGAUAAAUGUCAUUGUCAAAAGGGAAACAGCCCAGAUCUACAGCUAAGGUCCCAAAGUCAGGUUAAGUGGAAAACGAUGUGAAGAUACGCAGACAACCAGGAUGUUGGCUCAGAAGCAGCCACUCAUUCAAAGAGUGCGUAAUAGCUCACUGGUCGAGCGUCUUUGCGCGGAGAAUUUAACGGGGCUAAACCUGACACCGAAGCUUAGGCAAUACAGCAAUGUAUUGGGUAGGGGAGCGUUGUAUACGCGGUGAAACAGUAGCGUAAGCGGCUGUGGAGUGUAUAGAAGUGAGAAUGCCGGAAUGAGUAGCGCGAAUGCAGUGAGAAUCUGCAUGGCCGAAAGCCUCAGGUUUCUGGAGGAAGGUUCGUCCGCUCCAAGUUAGUCGGGAGCUAAGGUGAGGCCGGAAGGCGUAGCCGAUGCACAGACGGUAGAGAUUCCGUCACCACCAAAAGAGUUAAACACAGGGACACAUAUGAAGUCUCGGAGCCGGGUGUUGGUUCCGGUAGCGAUCGAGGGAAGUUAGUACCGAAGUCCGGGAUGGAAGAUGGCGAGAAAAGCUGUGUGUAUUUCUGCGGUGCCCGUACCGCAAACCGACACAGGUAGGUAGGAAGAAGAUUCUAAGGCCAACGGGAGAAGGGUUGUUAAGGAACUCGGCAAAUUGACCCCGUAACUUCGGGAGAAGGGGUGCUGCAGCAAUGCAGCCGCAGAGAAUCGGCCCAAGCAACUGUUUACCAAAAACACAGGUUUGUGCUAAAUCGAAAGAUGACGUAGACGAGCUGACGCCUGCCCGGUGCUGGAAGGUUAAGAGGAGAUGUGCAAGCAUUGAAUCGAAGCCCCAGUGAACGGCGGCCGUAACUAUAACGGUCCUAAGGUAGCGAAAUUCCUUGUCAGGUAAGUUCUGACCCGCACGAAAGGCGUAACGAUUUGGGCGCUGUCUCAGCUGUAGACUCGGUGAAGUCUUAGUACCUGUGAAGAUGCAGGUUACCCGCGACUAGACGGGAAGACCCCAUGGAGCUUUACUGUAGCUUGAUAUUGGACUCUGAUGCAAGAUGUACAGGAUAGGUAGGAGACUGAGAGACAUGCACGCCAGUGUGUGAGGAGUCAAUGUUGGGAUACUACUCUUCUUGUAUUGGAGUUCUAACCGGAUGCCAUGGAACUGGCAACGGGACAGUGUCAGGUGGGCAGUUUGACUGGGGCGGUCGCCUCCCAAAGAGUAACGGAGGCGCCCAAAGAUACCCUCAGCUUGGAUGGAAAUCAAG
This 1381-nucleotide ribosomal RNA is filed under the name metagenome. RNAcentral describes it as "bacterial LSU rRNA". It matches the Rfam family "Bacterial large subunit ribosomal RNA", at positions 873 to 2342 of the family's 2925-position model. The record is from RNAcentral.